UGACACUAUCGGUGGUGAGCCUUGCUACAUCUAUCUCUAGUGAUUGCAUCUUCUAAGAUCUCUAUCUCUACAAAACCCAAUCCCCACCACUACGGCCUUAUUCCUUUCCUUGUUUCUCUCCCCUUUUUUUUGCUCAAUUUCAUAUAUUUCACAUCCACAAGGUACGUUUUCCAAACAACAAUUUAUUUCUGUCUUUUUUUUUUUUUGGUUUUGACGAAUGAAUGUGUUUGUAGUUAUGUUGGAAUUUGAUUUAACAAGAACCCUUGCUAUGCUCAUAGCUUUACCUGAAUCUGUAAUGUUAUUUGUAUGGUGCAAUUAACUGGAGAAAUUUUUUUACAUUAAAUCUUUUGAUAUGUUAGGGAAUGAUUGUCCCUAAUACAAGUUAUAUGUGCACUAUAGUCAUAAAGAUCAUGCUACUAUUCGUUUUCUCUCAUCUUUCUUAGAAGUGGCUCUAUUUUCUGAUUGAAUAUAAUAUGAUUUCAGAUCUAUAAAACGAUAUAAGAAUCUCGAAUAUCAGAAACCAGUACUAGAGUUUUUGCUUGUGGACAUGUCUUUUAUUCAUAUCUGUAUGGGUUGUAUGGACCUUCGUCUGCUCUAAAUUGUGGGAGUGGACAAUAAGGUGAUAGUGAUGGUUCCUCUUAAUUGUGGUAUGUGAUUGAGGAAUUUUCUCAGUUUUUUAAUAAUAUUUUUUAUCUUUUUUCCCUCUCUCUCUCUCUCUCUCUCUCUCUCUCUCUCUUAUUAUUGAUUUGUUGAUUUUUAAUUCAUGACAGCAUUUUGAGGCACCAGAAAUUGAUAUGCUGGCUAGUUGUUUGUGAAUUCCUCUCGUUACAAAAAUUAGACUACAUCAGUACCUAUUUGAAAUAAGGAAAAUGCAAUCCUCAAUGCAUCUUCUAUUGGGCAGGGUUUGUUCUGCUUUGUUUUCUAAGGGCCUCCUCUCCUUUCUUUCAGUCAGUCAAAGAGGGAGACAGGAAAACCAAUUCCCUGAUGAGCUUCAAGUUCUUGUUCAAAGGGAUGCUGAUUUAGUUUAUUACUUUCGGAUAUAAUUUCCAUUUUAUUUUCAAAUUAUUUUUCUUUUGGAUUGGUAAGGUAUGCCUUGCCUUGUUCAGGAGCCUCUUCCCCUUCUUUUUAAGGGUUCUUAGGGGCAGCCUUCUUGUGUAAUAUUUUCUUUUUUCUUUUCCCAUACAUUGCUUAUACUUAAAAUAAAUAAAUAAAUAAAGCAUUCAUUCUAAUCGAAAUGUAGUGAUAGACAAUGCAAGAAGAGGGGGAUGAUGAAAGUGGAACAGAAACCUGAGGAAGAGAACAAGCCUACUGUCCCAUUCAUUGACUUCAUGUCAGUUUGAACCUCAUCAUCAUAGAAUUGGUAUCUCAAACAAUAAUCUAACACAAUCAUAGAAAUUAUACGAGCACAUUCCACCUAGAAUCUGACUUGUUAGAAUUCAAACAGAGAU
Molecule: long non-coding RNA, 1448 nt
Organism: Macadamia integrifolia
Lineage: Eukaryota; Viridiplantae; Streptophyta; Magnoliopsida; Proteales; Proteaceae
Exons: 3
Source: RefSeq, a predicted model, not a curated record